GCAUUUUAUGUAAUAUUCUACCAUUUAUAAGGUUGUUUAUUUUUAAUGAUUCCCAAUCUACUCUAUUAUUUGAGACGUACGUUAAGUGAUUCUCGGUUAAAA
Molecule: small RNA, 102 nt
Filed under: Arabidopsis thaliana (thale cress)
Lineage: Eukaryota; Viridiplantae; Streptophyta; Magnoliopsida; Brassicales; Brassicaceae
Description: ATSL277300
Source: RNAcentral